Molecule: ribosomal RNA, 253 nt
Filed under: uncultured bacterium
Lineage: Bacteria
Description: partial 16S ribosomal RNA
Rfam family: Bacterial small subunit ribosomal RNA
Source: RNAcentral
UACGGAGGGUGCAAGCGUUAUCCGGAUUCACUGGGUUUAAAGGGUGCGUAGGCGGGCAGGUAAGUCCGUGGUGAAAUCUCUGAGCUUAACUCAGAAACUGCCAUGGAUACUAUUUGUCUUGAAUAUUGUGGAGGUAAGCGGAAUAUGUCAUGUAGCGGUGAAAUGCUUAGAUAUGACAUAGAACACCAAUUGCGAAGGCAGCUUACUACUCAGUUAUUGACGCUGAGGCACGAAAGCGUGGGGAUCAAACAGG